This is a long non-coding RNA of Pollicipes pollicipes, 375 nucleotides long. RefSeq lists it as uncharacterized. The record is from RefSeq and is a predicted model, not a curated record. The transcript has 3 exons. Lineage: Eukaryota; Metazoa; Arthropoda; Thecostraca; Pollicipedomorpha; Pollicipedidae.
GCUGGAGUGGGUCAUCAGGAAGGAGACGGAGCUCAAUCAGCUGGAGCCGCUCCGCGCGGACGCAGCGGCGCUCCAGCAGCAGCAGGAGGAUGCCCGCUCUCUGCUGAGCCAGCUGUCGGACCGCCAGGCGCUCAUCAGUAGCAAGCUGAGCGCCGCCAGAGCGGUCAGCUCCGAGCCUGCCUUACACUGCGAGGCCAGCGAUACUGAAGGUCGAGGCGAGCGCGAUGGCUACGGCCGGGAGCGUCGCUCCGAGCUGGACCAGAGUCUGGAGCAGGCGAGGGCUAUCGGUCGGGAGGCGGCCAAGCUACAGGACAAGUGGCGAGAGCUCGGCCGACGCGCCGAACUCUUCCGACGACGCGCUGACUCGGCCCUGGC